Molecule: transfer RNA, 87 nt
Filed under: Streptomyces turgidiscabies
Lineage: Bacteria; Bacillati; Actinomycetota; Actinomycetes; Kitasatosporales; Streptomycetaceae
Description: tRNA-Gly
Source: RNAcentral
UCCGGGAGUGGUCCGGCGCCGGGGCCGACGGCCCCCUGUUGUCGGGGGAAACUCGGCCCACUCGGGUCCGAGUCCCGCCGUCCGGAG